Molecule: long non-coding RNA, 321 nt
Filed under: Hordeum vulgare
Lineage: Eukaryota; Viridiplantae; Streptophyta; Magnoliopsida; Poales; Poaceae
Description: long non-coding RNA (HVUL_LNC002499)
Source: RNAcentral
CUGGUAAUAAUAAAGUGAAGAUUUGAGGAGGAGAUGUCAACAAGAUGUGGCAGCUAAUAAGAUGGAAUGAUGGAUGUAGAUGGAGAAAGAAACCUUGCUUCUUCAUUCAUGCCUGGCAAUGUGCCAAUAAACUACUAGUGGUGAUUUCUGAUUGGUCAGUGGCUGGAUGGGUCUGUUAUUUUGGGACUUGUGUAAAAUUUGAAAAAAGAGUGGGAGAAAAAACCAACUCGAUGAUGAAGAGUGUGGUGUGUCAAGGCCUCUUCUUCUUUCGUUUGCGACCUAUGAAGAGGAAAAAAUGUAGGUGCGACGGAAAUGCUGGCG